Oreochromis aureus is the source of this 100-nucleotide small nuclear RNA. Its record names the gene U2. It matches the Rfam family "U2 spliceosomal RNA". From Rfam's summary of the family: U2 is a small nuclear RNA (snRNA) component of the spliceosome (involved in pre-mRNA splicing). Complementary binding between U2 snRNA (in an area lying towards the 5' end but 3' to hairpin I) and the branchpoint sequence (BPS) of the intron results the bulging out of an unpaired adenosine, on the BPS, which initiates a nucleophilic attack at the intronic 5' splice site, thus starting the first of two transesterification reactions that mediate splicing. Lineage: Eukaryota; Metazoa; Chordata; Actinopteri; Cichliformes; Cichlidae. The record is from Ensembl.
AUCGCUUCUCGGCCUUUUGGCUAAGAUCAAGUGUAGUAUCUGUUCUUAUCAGAAGAGGCGGGAAGCAAGAGAGAUGGCGACGCGUCGUCGGCCAGCUUUU